UGCAUGAUAUUUUAUAUUAUUUUUUAUUGGUUUGAAUCCACUGUCCGCAACUGCGAAGACUUUCAAAUCUGUACUUAGUGUCUUUUUGUUGUUGUGAUGUACAAGUACCCGGUCACGUCCAUAUGUUUUUGUUAUAUGUAUACUGAUGAGUUAAGCCUUUUUUCAAAUGAUUUGUAUAGUUCGUUCUUGUGGUACACUGUCCCUGAUUAGGGAAGGGUUGAGAUCCCGCUAAUAUGUUUAACCCC
RNAcentral lists this long non-coding RNA (245 nucleotides) under Mytilus galloprovincialis (Mediterranean mussel). The record is from RNAcentral. Lineage: Eukaryota; Metazoa; Mollusca; Bivalvia; Mytilida; Mytilidae.